UAUUUUGCUUCAUGGCGAGAUGUUGAAAGACGGUUUCGGCUGUCACUACAAGAUGGGCCCGCGGCGCAUUAGCUAGUUGGUAGGGUAAUGGCCUACCAAGGCGACGAUGCGUAGCCGACCUGAGAGGGUGAUCGGCCACACUGGGACUGAGACACGGCCCAGACUCCGUACGGGAGGCAGCAGUAGGGAAUCUUCCACAAUGGACGAAAGUCUGAUGGAGCAACGCCGCGUGAGUGAAGAAGGUUUUCGGAUCGUAAAACUCUGUUGUAAGGGAAGAACACGUACGAGAGUAACUGCUCGUACCUUGACGGUACCUUAUUAGAAAGCCACGGCUAACUACGUG
Molecule: ribosomal RNA, 343 nt
Filed under: uncultured bacterium
Lineage: Bacteria
Description: bacterial SSU rRNA
Rfam family: Bacterial small subunit ribosomal RNA
Source: RNAcentral